This 253-nucleotide ribosomal RNA is filed under the name uncultured bacterium. RNAcentral describes it as "partial 16S ribosomal RNA". It matches the Rfam family "Bacterial small subunit ribosomal RNA", at positions 524 to 776 of the family's 1533-position model. The record is from RNAcentral.
UACGUAGGGGGCAAGCGUUGUCCGGAUUUAUUGGGCGUAAAGAGCGUGUAGGCGGCUUUACAGGUCCGUUGUGAAAACUCGAGGCUCAACCUCGAGACGCCGGUGGAAACCGUAAAGCUAGAGUCCGGAAGAGGAGAGUGGAAUUCCUGGUGUAGCGGUGAAAUGCGCAGAUAUCAGGAGGAACACCCGUGGCGAAAGCGGCUCUCUGGGACGGUACUGACGCUGAGACGCGAAAGCGUGAGGAGCAAACAGG